UGAUCUGCCCAGACUGGGCAUUUUUCGCCUUCGGGGACCGGUCUCCCCGACCAGGGACCGGUUCCCGAACGUGGGUGUUCCAGGACUUAGCCAAAUUUUUGAGUUUUUCAGCUGUUGCGCAGCGAGGGACCGGUCUGCCCGUCAGGGACCGGUCUCCCGAGGACCGGUCUCACCACCAGGGACCGGAUGCCUCAGGAUUUCCUGGCAGGCUACGCGCACGGGGACCGGUC
RNAcentral lists this long non-coding RNA (230 nucleotides) under Ananas comosus (pineapple). RNAcentral's name for it is "long non-coding RNA (ACOM_LNC031618)". Lineage: Eukaryota; Viridiplantae; Streptophyta; Magnoliopsida; Poales; Bromeliaceae. The record is from RNAcentral.